This 468-nucleotide ribosomal RNA is filed under the name uncultured bacterium. RNAcentral's name for it is "partial 16S ribosomal RNA". It matches the Rfam family "Bacterial small subunit ribosomal RNA", at positions 28 to 507 of the family's 1533-position model. The record is from RNAcentral.
GAUGAACGCUGGCGGCGUGCUUAACACAUGCAAGUCGAACGGUGAAGGCGGAGCUUGCUCUGCUGGAUCAGUGGCGAACGGGUGAGUAACACGUGAGCAAUCUGCCCCUGACUCUGGGAUAAGCGCUGGAAACGGCGUCUAAUACUGGAUACGAGCUGCGAAGGCAUCUUCAGCAGCUGGAAAGAAUUUCGGUCAGGGAUGAGCUCGCGGCCUAUCAGCUUGUUGGUGAGGUAAUGGCUCACCAAGGCGUCGACGGGUAGCCGGCCUGAGAGGGUGACCGGCCACACUGGGACUGAGACACGGCCCAGACUCCUACGGGAGGCAGCAGUGGGGAAUAUUGCACAAUGGGCGAAAGCCUGAUGCAGCAACGCCGCGCGAGGGACGACGGCCUUCGGGUUGUAAACCUCUUUUAGCAGGGAAGAAGCGAAAGUGACGGUACCUGCAGAAAAAGCGCCGGCUAACUACGUG